AGAAUCAACGCUGGCGGCGUGCCUAACACAUGCAAGUCGAACGCGAAAGUCCCGCAAGGGAUAAGUAGAGUGGCAAACGGGUGAGUAACACGUGGGUGACCUGCCUUCGAGUGGGGGAUAACGUCCCGAAAGGGACGCUAAUACCGCAUGACAUCCUGUCUUUGGAAAGACGGAGAUCAAAGCUGGGGAUCGCAAGACCUGGCGCUUGAAGAGGGGCCCGCGCCUGAUUAGCUAGUUGGUGGGUAACGGCCUACCAAGGCGACGAUCAGUA
Molecule: ribosomal RNA, 271 nt
Filed under: uncultured bacterium
Lineage: Bacteria
Description: partial small subunit ribosomal RNA
Rfam family: Bacterial small subunit ribosomal RNA
Source: RNAcentral